This 179-nucleotide ribosomal RNA is filed under the name Ruellia brevifolia. Its description in RNAcentral is "5.8S ribosomal RNA". The stretch from base 10 to 165 matches the Rfam family "5.8S ribosomal RNA". Rfam says of the family: 5.8S ribosomal RNA (5.8S rRNA) is a component of the large subunit of the eukaryotic ribosome. It is transcribed by RNA polymerase I as part of the 45S precursor that also contains 18S and 28S rRNA. RNAcentral also lists the same sequence under 3 other names. Lineage: Eukaryota; Viridiplantae; Streptophyta; Magnoliopsida; Lamiales; Acanthaceae. The record is from RNAcentral.
UGUCAAAACGACUCUCGGCAACGGAUAUCUCGGCUCUCGCAUCGAUGAAGAACGUAGCGAAAUGCGAUACUUGGUGUGAAUUGCAGAAUCCCGUGAACCAUCGAGUCUUUGAACGCAAGUUGCGCCCGAAGCCUUCGGGCCGAGGGCACGCCUGCCUGGGCGUCACGCAUCGCGUCGCC